GGGGCCGUAGCUCAGUCUGGGAGAGCGCUUGAAUCGCACUCAAGAGGUCGCGGGUUCGAGCCCCGCCGGCUCCA
Molecule: transfer RNA, 74 nt
Filed under: Gemmatimonadota bacterium
Lineage: Bacteria; Pseudomonadati; Gemmatimonadota
Also listed under: 3 other names
Description: Gemmatimonadetes bacterium (beach sand metagenome) tRNA-Ala
Rfam family: tRNA
About the family: Transfer RNA (tRNA) molecules are approximately 80 nucleotides in length. Their secondary structure includes four short double-helical elements and three loops (D, anti-codon, and T loops).
Source: RNAcentral